AUUGAACGCUGGCGGCAGGCCUAACACAUGCAAGUCGAACGGUAACAGGAAGAAGCUUGCUUCUUUGCUGACGAGUGGCGGACGGGUGAGUCAUGUCUGGGAAACUGCCUGAUGGAGGGGGAUAACUACUGGAAACGGUAGCUAAUACCGCAUAACGUCGCAAGACCAAAGAGGGGGACCUUCGGGCCUCUUGCCAUCGGAUGUGCCCAGGUGGGCUUCGCUAGGAGGUGGGGUAACGGCUCACCUAGGCGACGAGCCCUAGCUGGUCUGAGAGGAUGACCAGCCACACUGGAACUGAGACACGGUCCAGACUCCUACGGGAGGCAGCAGUGGGGAAUAUUGCACAAUGGGCGCAAGCCUGAUGCAGCCAUGCCGCGUGUAUGAAGAAGGCCUUCGGGUUGUAAAGUACUUUCAGCGGGGAGGAAGGGAGUAAAGUUAAUACCUUUGCUCAUUGACGUUACCCGCAGAAGAAGCACCGGCUAACUCCGUG
Molecule: ribosomal RNA, 490 nt
Filed under: uncultured bacterium
Lineage: Bacteria
Description: partial 16S ribosomal RNA
Rfam family: Bacterial small subunit ribosomal RNA
Source: RNAcentral